This 253-nucleotide ribosomal RNA is filed under the name uncultured prokaryote. RNAcentral's name for it is "partial 16S ribosomal RNA". It matches the Rfam family "Bacterial small subunit ribosomal RNA", at positions 525 to 777 of the family's 1533-position model. The record is from RNAcentral.
ACGAAGGGGGCUAGCGUUGUUCGGAAUCACUGGGCGUAAAGCGCAUGCAGGCGGAUCGUUAAGUCGGGGGUGAAAUCCCGAGGCUCAACCUCGGAACUGCCUUCGAUACUGGCGAUCUUGAGUCCGGGAGAAGUGAGUGGAACUGCGAUUGUAGAGGUGAAAUUCGUAGAUAUUCGCAAGAACACCAGUGGCGAAGGCGGCCAUCUGGACAGAUACUGACGCUGAGACGCGAAAGCGUGGGGAGCAAACAGGA